Non-coding RNA from Vulcanisaeta sp. JCHS_4, 101 nucleotides. The record is from Rfam. Lineage: Archaea; Thermoproteati; Thermoproteota; Thermoprotei; Thermoproteales; Thermoproteaceae.
GCCGGGGUGGCCGAGCCAGGUCCAAGGCGCAGGACUUGAGAUUGAAAGACAAGUAAUCCUGUCCCCGCAAGGGGGCCCGGGUUCAAAUCCCGGCCCCGGCA